GGCUCAGGAUGAACGCUGGCGGCGUGCUUAACACAUGCAAGUCGAACGGGAACUACUUUAUUGAAACUUCGGUCGAUUUAAUUUAAUUCUAGUGGCGGACGGGUGAGUAACGCGUGGGUAACCUGCCUUAUACAGGGGGAUAACAGUCAGAAAUGGCUGCUAAUACCGCAUAAGCGCACAGAGCUGCAUGGCUCAGUGUGAAAAACUCCGGUGGUAUAAGAUGGACCCGCGUUGGAUUAGCUAGUUGGUGGGGUAACGGCCCACCAAGGCGACGAUCCAUAGCCGGCCUGAGAGGGUGAACGGCCACAUUGGGACUGAGACACGGCCCAGACUCCUACGGGAGGCAGCAGUGGGGAAUAUUGCACAAUGGGGGAAACCCUGAUGCAGCGACGCCGCGUGAAGGAAGAAGUAUCUCGGUAUGUAAACUUCUAUCAGCAGGGAAGAUAGUGACGGUACCUGACUAAGAAGCCCCGGCUAACUACGUGCCAGCAGCCGCGGUAAUACGUAGGGGGCAAGCGUUAUCCGGAUUUACUGGGUGUAAAGGGAGCGUAGACGGUGUGGCAAGUCUGAUGUGAAAGGCAUGGGCUCAACCUGUGGACUGCAUUGGAAACUGUCAUACUUGAGUGCCGGAGGGGUAAGCGGAAUUCCUAGUGUAGCGGUGAAAUGCGUAGAUAUUAGGAGGAACACCAGUGGCGAAGGCGGCUUACUGGACGGUAACUGACGUUGAGGCUCGAAAGCGUGGGGAGCAAACA
Molecule: ribosomal RNA, 752 nt
Filed under: uncultured bacterium
Lineage: Bacteria
Description: bacterial SSU rRNA
Rfam family: Bacterial small subunit ribosomal RNA
Source: RNAcentral